Molecule: ribosomal RNA, 253 nt
Filed under: uncultured bacterium
Lineage: Bacteria
Description: partial 16S ribosomal RNA
Rfam family: Bacterial small subunit ribosomal RNA
Source: RNAcentral
UACGGAGGAUGCGAGCGUUAUCCGGAUUUAUUGGGUUUAAAGGGUGCGUAGGUUGUUUUUUAAGUCAGCGGUGAAAGUUUGUGGCUCAACCAUAAAAUUGCCGUUGAAACUGGUAGACUCGAGUGUGGUAGAGGCAAGUGGAACUUCUAGUGUAGCGGUAAAAUGCGUAGAUAUUAGAAAGAACACCAGUGGCGAAGGCGACUUGCUGGGCCAUCACUGACGGUCAGGGACGAAAGCGUGGGGAGCAAAUAGG